GCUUUCAGAGGACCAUGCACAGGGCUCAGGUUCUGGCACUGGCAGUAGAGUAUGAAGCAUCUGUUUUUACUGCAUUGACAGUCUCCAAGCUCUCUUAAGGACCCACCACUUCAGCCAAGCCACACAUCCAAGAGCUCCCUAAUUUCUCAAAUAGGGAUUCCUAAAGUGCCCAAGGCUUCAAUCACAUGAGACAGUACAGGUUAUCACCUUCAACCCAUGACAAAGACCUUUUACCCUUAAAAAUAAUGAUCAAUAAUUGUAAGCACCUCAAGCCACACUAGUGGCCAGGCCUCUCUGAAGAGGACCUCCAACAGCCAGUUCUACCCACAGAACACUCUAACUGCCCUAACAGCUGAACCCUGCCCCACCCUACAGAGUAAAAAGCCCAAUCUCUGGACUUCAAAUCCCACCAAUCUGUACCCUGAAAAGUGCCACCCCCUUCUCCAAGAAACUCUUCAGAAGCCCUGCCUUCUGCUCAGUUCCCAGCUGAUUCUCACCCAAGCAAAGAUAGUCACCCUCCUGUUUUUCCCCCUCCGAAUUCAUCUCUUGUGUAAGGUUUGUUGUGUGGUGUGACUCUGGUAUUCCUUGGCUCCUUACAGCCCAGAUACCUUCCCAUACAAGCUGUAAUGCUUAAAUUUUGUGCCAAAACACGGGAUAGUCUCUCCUAGUGCUUGUAUUCCUCCUCCAGGUCUAAGCUGACCUGGGUCCCUAUCUCUCAUCUCCAGUCCACCAGCAAAAAACUUACCUUCUGGCUCACUGACUGCUCAGCACCCCAUUUACCACAUCACUUAGCAUCUCCAAUGGGUGGCUCAGGCCAUCCUCACUCUCCAGGACCAAGUAGACUCACUGGCUGCCAUAAGUGCUACAAAUUUGUCGAGGAUUAACUUCACUAACAGCAGAAAGAUGUGGUCUUUGUCUCUUCCUCAGGGAGGAAUGUUUCUUCUAUGUCAACCAGUCAGGGUCAAAAGAUUUCUAACUAGACUUUUAAACAGCUGUUAUUUCAUGAUUACCAGCCCUUAGCUACAGAGUCAGCGAUCAGCAGCUCCCAACUAUUCUCUGAUGGUCAAGAUCAAGUUCACCCAAAGAACUUCCUGAUUCAGCAGGAAGUAAUCUAAUGACAAUAUUGCCCCCUUUCCUGUGGCCUGAUUGUUUAACAGUAAUAAAUAAAAAAGGAGGAAAUUUAAGCCCCUCAAGCCACAUAAGUGGCCAGGCCUCUCCUACCAAAUUCUAGAUUCAACCCACCAAAUGUUCUAACUACCCUAACAGCUAGACUCUUCCCCCUACCCUACAAAGUAAAAAGCCCAAUCUCUGGACAUGAAAUCCCACCAAUUUCCACCCUGGAAAGCUUCAUCCUGAAAAGUUCUACCCCUUCCCCAAGAAACUCUAUGUAAACCCUUGUCCUCUACUGAACAGAGGCAACUGCCCUCCUGGU
Peromyscus leucopus (white-footed mouse) is the source of this 1432-nucleotide long non-coding RNA. RefSeq lists it as uncharacterized. The transcript has 3 exons. The record is from RefSeq and is a predicted model, not a curated record. Lineage: Eukaryota; Metazoa; Chordata; Mammalia; Rodentia; Cricetidae.